Molecule: ribosomal RNA, 771 nt
Filed under: fungal sp.
Lineage: Eukaryota; Fungi
Description: eukaryotic LSU rRNA
Rfam family: Eukaryotic large subunit ribosomal RNA (bases 506-771)
Source: RNAcentral
CAUUACUGAGUGAGGGCCCCUCGGGGUCCAACCUCCCACCCGUGUUUAACGUACCUUGUUGCUUCGGCGGGCCCGCCUCACGGCCGCCGGGGGGCAUCCGCCCCCGGGCCCGCGCCCGCCGAAGCCACCUGUGAACGCUGUCUGAAGUAUGCAGUCUGAGACAAUUAUUAAAUUAAUUAAAACUUUCAACAACGGAUCUCUUGGUUCCGGCAUCGAUGAAGAACGCAGCGAAAUGCGAUAACUAAUGUGAAUUGCAGAAUUCAGUGAAUCAUCGAGUCUUUGAACGCACAUUGCGCCCUCUGGUAUUCCGGAGGGCAUGCCUGUCCGAGCGUCAUUGCUGCCCUCCAGCCCGGCUGGUGUGUUGGGCCCCGCCCCCCUUCCCGGGGGGGCGGGCCCGAAAGGCAGCGGCGGCACCGCGUCCGGUCCUCGAGCGUAUGGGGCUUUGUCACCCGCUCUUGCAGGCCCGGCCGGCGCCAGCCGACCCCCUCAAUCUAUUUUUUCAGGUUGACCUCGGAUCAGGUAGGGAUACCCGCUGAACUUAAGCAUAUCAAUAAGCGGAGGAAAAGAAACCAACCGGGAUUGCCCUAGUAACGGCGAGUGAAGCGGCAAGAGCUCAAAUUUGAAAGCUGGCUCCUUCGGGGUCCGCAUUGUAAUUUGCAGAGGAUGCUUCGGGAGCGGUCCCCAUCUAAGUGCCCUGGAACGGGCCGUCAUAGAGGGUGAGAAUCCCGUAUGGGAUGGGGUGCCCGCGCCCGUGUGAAGCUCCUUCGACGA